Molecule: long non-coding RNA, 838 nt
Organism: Dromaius novaehollandiae (emu)
Lineage: Eukaryota; Metazoa; Chordata; Aves; Casuariiformes; Dromaiidae
Exons: 2
Source: RefSeq, a predicted model, not a curated record
GGCGGGCGGGGUGAUCUCGAGGCAGGUGCUUGCGGCGGGGUGGCGGGCGGGAGCGCGUGCGAGGGGCACCGUUAGUGCCCGGGGCGGUUGGCUGUUGGCGGGGCGCGCAGGGAGGGGUGACGCCCUGCCCCCAGCUCCGCGUGCCGGUUGCUCGGCCGCAGCGCGGCUGCUCCUUGCGCCUGUCCGCUGCGCGGCCCGCCUCACCCCGACGAGACAGGCAGCGUGGUCACGCUCGAAGUGGAUCGUCAGAGCAACCGGUGCUUUCCGAGGAGCAGCAGUCACCAGAAUCCUGAAAAAUUGCAAGUAGAUUGCUGUUGACGUUGUGCUGGAAAGUUCCGGAGACCGUGAAGGGGGCUGCGGGAGGCUGACUGUUUCCAUCAGCAUCUCAGGUCUCCAAGAAACAUAUUUGAAAACCUGUUCUGCAUUGUGCUGUCGUCUGGACUGCUAAAGAUCUGGCCAGUCUCAGACUCGAGAUGGAAGCUUGGCGCAAUCUUUAAGGUGAUGGCAUGCAUUAAUAGCAAAUAUUGUCCAGUCUCAUGUUUUGUGAAAAACUUUGGGUGGAACUGUGGAGUAAUUCUGAUGUCAGGAUUAAAAAGCUAUUUGCAGUCUAAAAGAGCUGAAUAUGAUGACCAGGCAAUUCUACCUGACAAUCAGUUGGAAUUAUAUUAAUUAUAUUCAUAUUUUAUUAUUAUAUUCUUAAUUAUUUUAAGAAGUUGAAACAUAGUGAGGGGGAAAAAAGCAAGAUGAAUGUCAAAUAAAAAAUGAUUUAAGAAAGUGAAUUUUAAGUGUGCAAUCUGAUAGCAAAUGCAAUAUUAAAGUUCUUGUUUGCCUCUGGUGA